GACGAACGCUGGCGGCGUGCUUAACACAUGCAAGUCGAACGGAAAGGCUCCACUUUGCUGGGGUCCUCGGGUGGCGAACGGGUGAGUAACACGUGGGGUAUCUGCCCUGCACUUCGGGAUAAGCCUGGGAAACUGGGGCUAAUCCCGGAUAGGACCGCAUGUUGGGGUGUGUGGGGGAAAGGUUUUUUUGGUGUGGGAUGAGUUCGCGGCCUUUCGGUUUGUUGGUGGGGUAAUGGCCUACCAGGACGGGGACGGGUAGCCGGCCUGAGAGGGUGGACGGUCACAUUGGGACUGAGAUACGGCCCAGACUCCUACGGGAGGCAGCAGUGGGGAAUAUUGCACAAUGGGGGAAACCCUGAUGCAGCGACGCCGCGUGGGGGAUGAAGGCCUUCGGGUUGUGAACUCCUUUCGCUAGGGACGAAGCUUUUUGUGACGGUACCUGGAGAAGAAGCACCGGCUAACUACGUG
RNAcentral lists this ribosomal RNA (468 nucleotides) under uncultured bacterium. RNAcentral's name for it is "partial 16S ribosomal RNA". It matches the Rfam family "Bacterial small subunit ribosomal RNA", at positions 28 to 507 of the family's 1533-position model. The record is from RNAcentral.